GACAGAGGAUGCAAGCGUUAUCCGGAAUCACUGGGCGUAAAGGGCGCGUAGGCGGCCAUUCAAGUCGGAGGUGAAAGCCCAGGGCUCAACCCUGGAAUUGCCUUCGAUACUGUUUGGCUAGAGACCGGAAGAGGUAAGUGGAACUGCGAGUGUAGAGGUGAAAUUCGUAGAUAUUCGCAAGAACACCAGUGGCGAAGGCGGCUUACUGGUCCGGUUCUGACGCUGAGGCGCGAAAGCGUGGGGAGCAAACAGG
RNAcentral lists this ribosomal RNA (253 nucleotides) under uncultured bacterium. RNAcentral describes it as "partial 16S ribosomal RNA". It matches the Rfam family "Bacterial small subunit ribosomal RNA", at positions 524 to 776 of the family's 1533-position model. The record is from RNAcentral.